Impatiens glandulifera is the source of this 541-nucleotide long non-coding RNA. RefSeq lists it as uncharacterized. NCBI's taxonomy places the organism in Eukaryota, Viridiplantae, Streptophyta, Magnoliopsida, Ericales, Balsaminaceae. The record is from RefSeq and is a predicted model, not a curated record. The transcript is spliced from 4 exons.
GCUAAAGAAUUUCUGAAAACAGGAGAUAAUGUCAUUGUCUGCUCAAGAUCAGCUGAAAGAGUGGAAUCUGCAUUGCAGAGCUUAAUACAUGACUUUGGACAGCAGCGUGUGUGGGGCACAACAUGUGAUGUUAGACAGGGGGAAGAUGUGAAGAAGUUAGUUCAUUUUUCUCAACAAAAUCUAAAACAUAUCGAUAUAUGGGGUCGCCACAAACUGGUGUGGGUGACAACGUGUGGCGGACGGUAAUCGCCGACAAGAGUAGUGGCAGGACGACAUCGGGUCAAACUAAGUAAACCAAGCCGAGUCAACUCAACUCUGCCUCGUCAACUCACCUGAUUUUUAUUGGCAGGAAGCACGUGCAUGGCUCCUCCUUUGUCACUUCAUUUUCGAAAUAAAAAAUGGGAUGUAUCCUUAUAAACCUUCCAAUGGGCUUUUUCCAUAAACACCUUCCGCUAGCAAUUCCUCAAAAGGCCAAAACUGAAUUUCUUUUGGGGAGUCCAUGUGAUCGCUUUGACCUUAAUAUGGCAUCAAAAUUUAUCCA